RNAcentral lists this ribosomal RNA (468 nucleotides) under Lepidopleurus cajetanus. Its description in RNAcentral is "partial 16S ribosomal RNA". It matches the Rfam family "Bacterial large subunit ribosomal RNA", at positions 1843 to 2586 of the family's 2925-position model. Lineage: Eukaryota; Metazoa; Mollusca; Polyplacophora; Lepidopleurida; Lepidopleuridae. The record is from RNAcentral.
AUAUAAAGAAUCGUGCCUGCCCAAUGAAUAAUAAAAAUUUAAAUGGCUGCAGUACUCUGACUGUACAAAGGUAGCAUAAUAAAUUGCCUUUUAAUUAGAGGCUAGUAUGAACGGCUUGUCGAAGACUAAGCUGUCUCUUUUACAUUAAAUAAAAAUUAACUUUCAGGUGAAGAGGCCUAAGUAAACUUAAAAGACGGAAAGACCCUGUUGAGCUUUAGAAAAUACGGUUAUUAGAAAACUCUUAUUUUCUUUGGUUGGGGCAACAGAAAAACAAAUAUAGCUUUUUCUUAAUAAAUAAAUAUAUAUAUAUUUUGAUCCGCUAAAUUGCGAUAAGAAGAUAAAGUUACCACAGGGAUAACAGCGUUAUCUUUUUAGAAAGUUCCUAUUGAAAAAAAGGUUUACGACCUCGAUGUUGGAUUAAGAAUGCUAGUCAGGUGCAGUAGCUAGACAAAGUUGGUCUGUUCGACC